AACGAACGCUGGCGGCAUGCCUAACACAUGCAAGUCGAACGAAGCCUUCGGGCUUAGUGGCGCACGGGUGCGUAACGCGUGGGAAUCUGCCCCUUGCUUCGGAAUCACAGUUAGAAAUGACUGCUAAUACCGGAUGAAGUCUUCGGACCAAAGAUUUAUCGGCAAGGGAUGAGCCCGCGUAGGAUUAGGUAGUUGGUGGGGUAAAGGCCUACCAAGCCGACGAUCCUUAGCUGGUCUGAGAGGAUGAUCAGCCACACUGGGACUGAGACACGGCCCAGACUCCUACGGGAGGCAGCAGUGGGGAAUAUUGGACAAUGGACGCAAGUCUGAUCCAGCAAUGCCGCGUGAGUGAUGAAGGCCUUAGGGUUGUAAAGCUCUUUUACCAGGGAUGAUAAUGACAGUACCUGGAGAAUAAGCUCCGGCUAACUCCGUG
Molecule: ribosomal RNA, 433 nt
Filed under: uncultured bacterium
Lineage: Bacteria
Description: partial 16S ribosomal RNA
Rfam family: Bacterial small subunit ribosomal RNA
Source: RNAcentral